Molecule: non-coding RNA, 74 nt
Organism: Sciurus carolinensis (gray squirrel)
Lineage: Eukaryota; Metazoa; Chordata; Mammalia; Rodentia; Sciuridae
Source: the annotation of a RefSeq genome assembly
UGGGGAUAUAACUCAGUUGGUAGAGUGCUUGCCUUACAAGCAUAAGGCCCAGGGUUCAAUCCCCUGUACCACAA